Molecule: long non-coding RNA, 1353 nt
Organism: Pygocentrus nattereri (red-bellied piranha)
Lineage: Eukaryota; Metazoa; Chordata; Actinopteri; Characiformes; Serrasalmidae
Source: Ensembl
GCUCCUUUAUCCUUCACCAUCUCAGACACGCUCCUUUAUCCUUCACCAUCUCAGACACGCUCCUUUAUCCUUCACCAUCUCAGACACGCUCCUUUAUCCUUCACCAUCUCAGACAUGCUCCUUUCUCCUUCACCAUCUCAGACAUGCUCCUUUCUCCUUCACCAUCUCAGACAUGUUCCUUUCUCCUUCACCAUCUCAGACACGCUCCUUUCUCCUUCACCAUCUCAGACACGCUCCUUUCUCCUUCACCAUCUCAGACACGCUCCUUUCUCCUUCACCAUCUCAGACAUGCUCCUUUCUCCUUCACCAUCUCAGACACGCUCCUUUAUCCUUCACCGUCUCAGACAUGCUCCUUUCUCCUUCACCAUCUCCGACACGCUCCUUUCUGCUUCAUCAUCUCAGACACGCUCCUUUCUCCUUCACCAUCUCAGACACGCUCCUUUAUCCUUCACCAUCUCAGACAUGCUCCUUUCUCCUUCACCAUUCCAGACAUGCUGCUUUCUCCUUCACCAUCUCAGACAUGCUCCUUUCUCCUCCACCAUCUCAGACAUGCUCCUUUCUCCUUCACCAUGCCAGACAUGCUCCUUUCUCCUUCACCAUUCCAGACAUGCUCCUUUAUCCUUCACCAUCUCAGACAUGCUCCUUUCUCCUUCACCAUGCCAGACAUGCUCCUUUCUCCUUCACCAUUCCAGACAUGCUCCUUUCUCCUUCACCAUCUCAGACAUGCUCCUUUCUCCUUCACCAUUCCAGACAUGCUCCUUUCUCCUUCACCAUCUCAGACAUGCUCCUUUCUCCUUCACCAUGCCAGACAUGCUCCUUUCUCCUUCACCAUUCCAGACAUGCUCCUUUCUCCUUCACCAUCUCAGACAUGCUCCUUUCUCCUUCACCAUUCCAGACAUGCUGCUUUCUCCUUCACCAUCUCAGACAUGCUCCUUUCUCCUUCACCAUCUCAGAUAUGCUUCUUUCUCCUUCACCAUCUCAGACAUGCUCCUUUCUCCUUCACCAUCUCAGACAUGCUCCUUUCUCCUUCACCAUUCCAGACAUGUUCCUUUCUUCUUCACCAUCUCAGACAUGCUCCUUUCUCCUUCACCAUUCCAGACAUGUUCCUUUCUUCUUCACCAUCUCAGACAUGCUCCUUUCUCCUUCACCAUUCCAGACAUGUUCCUUUCUUCUUCACCAUCUCAGACAUGCUCCUUUCUCCUUCACCAUUCCAGACAUGUUCCUUUCUCUUUCACCAUCCUAUAAUUAUAGAUUUGUAAGGCCCAGUGUUGUUUAAAAACAGUUUUAAAAGUUUUUAAAUGUUUGCUUCAUAGCUUUUCCUUUUUAAAAACAUUGUGAACAUGUAAAAAUGUA